Molecule: ribosomal RNA, 253 nt
Filed under: uncultured bacterium
Lineage: Bacteria
Description: partial 16S ribosomal RNA
Rfam family: Bacterial small subunit ribosomal RNA
Source: RNAcentral
UACGUAGGGUGCAAGCGUUAAUCGGAAUUACUGGGCGUAAAGCGUGCGCAGGCGGUUUUGUAAGCCUGUCGUGAAAGCCCCGGGCUCAACCUGGGAAUUGCAUUGGAGACUGCAAGGCUAGAAUCUGGCAGAGGGGGGUAGAAUUCCACGUGUAGCAGUGAAAUGCGUAGAGAUGUGGAGGAACACCGAUGGCGAAGGCAGCCCCCUGGGUCAAGAUUGACGCUCAUGCACGAAAGCGUGGGGAGCAAACAGG